GACGAACGCUGGCGGCGUGCCUAACACAUGCAAGUCGAGCGGAGUCGAUCGACGGAAGCCUUCGGGCGGAAGAUGGUUGACUUAGCGGCGGAUGGGUGAGUAACGCGUGGGCAACCUGCCUCGAAGACCGGGAUAACAGCCCGAAAGGGCUGCUAAUACCGGAUGUGGUCAAGGAUCCGCAUGGAUUUUGAUUAAAGGGGAAACCCGUUUCGAGAUGGGCCCGCGUCCUAUCAGCUAGUUGGUGAGGUAAAAGCUCACCAAGGCGACGACGGGUAGCCGGCCUGAGAGGGUGACCGGCCACACUGGAACUGAGACACGGUCCAGACUCCUACGGGGGGCAGCAGUGGGGAAUCUUCCACAAUGGGCGAAAGCCUGAUGGAGCGACGCCGCGUGAGCGAAGAAGGCCUUCGGGUUGUAAACCUCUGUCACCGGGGAAGAAUGGCUAUGACCUAAUACGUCAUGGUUUGACUUAACCCGGAGAGGAAGCAGUGGCUAACUCUGUG
Molecule: ribosomal RNA, 503 nt
Filed under: uncultured bacterium
Lineage: Bacteria
Description: bacterial SSU rRNA
Rfam family: Bacterial small subunit ribosomal RNA
Source: RNAcentral